CCUCCAGCCCAGACUUAGCCAAUUUUCAGCUUCGUCCGUUUUCGCUCCGUUUUCGUCCGUUUGACCUCCGAUUCGUCUCAAAUCGAACCGAGACUCUCCAAACAUAUUUUCAAACAUGUUUUCAUCAUCUUUCCAUCCUCGCUAAUGCCGGAUUUAGCUCACGGCCCAAUUUAGCCUUUCGGGUUCCGUUUCCGCACCUACGCGCACCGAAACGCCCGAUAGCUCUCGAACUUCACCGAACUUCACCGGAACCAUUCAAAUAGCUCUCCAAUCGAAUGUACACCAUAACUUCAUGAUUUUAGAAGUUCGGUACCGGAUCUCUUUCUAUAUCUAUGUCACUUUAUUUGCAUCCUAAUAUCACAGAAAGGUGGGGGGUGCUGUC
RNAcentral lists this long non-coding RNA (382 nucleotides) under Ananas comosus (pineapple). Its description in RNAcentral is "long non-coding RNA (ACOM_LNC016623)". The record is from RNAcentral. Lineage: Eukaryota; Viridiplantae; Streptophyta; Magnoliopsida; Poales; Bromeliaceae.